UUUACCUACGGGGGGCAGCAGUGGGGGAUAUUGCACAAUGGGGGCAACCCUGAUGCAGCGACGCCGCGUGAGCGAUGGAGUACUUCGGUAUGUAAAGCUCUGUCAGCAGGGAAGAGAAUGACGGUACCUGACCAAGAAGCCCCGGCUAAAUACGUGCCAGCAGCCGCGGUAAUACGUAUGGGGCAAGCGUUAUCCGGAAUUACUGGGUGUAAAGGGAGCGUAGACGGCGAGGUAAGCCUGAAGUGGAAGCCCGCGGCCCAACCGCGGAACUGCUUUGGGAACUGUUUUGCUGGAGUAUGGGAGGG
This 305-nucleotide ribosomal RNA is filed under the name uncultured bacterium. RNAcentral describes it as "bacterial SSU rRNA". It matches the Rfam family "Bacterial small subunit ribosomal RNA", at positions 334 to 656 of the family's 1533-position model. The record is from RNAcentral.